UACGGGAGACAAAAACUCGUGACCUAAUUUUCUUAUACAAGGAUUAAUGGGGUAUUUAAACUAAAAAGUUAUAAUCACCCAUUUCUCAUGUUUGAAAAUAAUUAUCCUAACAUGAACAAGCAAAUGAACUAGAUUAAAUGAGAUGCAAUUCUAAAUGGCAUGAUUAGCACCUAUAGCGGGUAAGGGAUAAUAUAAUAGGGAAUAUCAUACAAAUGAGAAAAGAUUCUAAAAAUAAAAACAUGCAUGGAAAUGUAGUGAAUAGCACACAAAGAUGAAUCUAGCGCAAGACAACCUAAAUGGUCUAGCGUUGGACUAGCCCAUUUCUAAAAAUCCUUACUAGCGUU
RNAcentral lists this long non-coding RNA (344 nucleotides) under Coffea arabica (coffee). RNAcentral describes it as "long non-coding RNA (CARA_LNC003473)". Lineage: Eukaryota; Viridiplantae; Streptophyta; Magnoliopsida; Gentianales; Rubiaceae. The record is from RNAcentral.